RNAcentral lists this transfer RNA (72 nucleotides) under Camelus bactrianus (Bactrian camel). It matches the Rfam family "tRNA". Rfam says of the family: Transfer RNA (tRNA) molecules are approximately 80 nucleotides in length. Lineage: Eukaryota; Metazoa; Chordata; Mammalia; Artiodactyla; Camelidae. RNAcentral also lists the same sequence under 2 other names. The record is from Rfam by way of RNAcentral.
GAGGGUAUAGCUCAGUGGUAGAGAGCAUGCUUACCAUACAUGUGGUCAUGGGUUCAAUCCCCAGUACCUCCA